Molecule: long non-coding RNA, 1476 nt
Filed under: Ficedula albicollis (Collared flycatcher)
Lineage: Eukaryota; Metazoa; Chordata; Aves; Passeriformes; Muscicapidae
Description: lncRNA (ENSFALG00000024914.1)
Source: RNAcentral
AUGGGCUGUGUGCUCUUGACAUUGCUGCCAUGGCUGUGGAGCAGAGGAGCUACUGGGCUGUGCAUCACACGCACACCUGGACCUUUGCAACUCCACGCAGCAUUCAAGGAAUGUGCAUAUGAAAAGGAAAGGCACUUCAAGCUUCUCGCUGCUGUAAGAGGGGCGCUUUCAUUUACAUCACUGGAAUGUAGAAGUAGUUUCAGAAGAGUCAGAUGAGGCCCAUGAGGCCACAAGUCCUCGCAGGCUCACAGCAGCAUCGAGUUAUCAUCAAUGCACUGGGUUCUGUGCGCACAGAGAGCCUCGGAGAGGCCACACGGGCACUCUGCAGACCUGGGGAAAAGGCAGCCUGACAGGACCCACAUCCUGACAGGAGGACUCCCAUCGUGCCAGAAAGGAUGCAGGAAAUAAAAAGAGCUGAACUCCAAUGCACGUCUCAAUUUGGGUGUUUCAAAAUGGGCACUAUGUUGAGCGAGCAUCUUUUGAGUAGUGGAUACUUUUGUUUGGGGAAAUGAAGCCUGUGUGCUGCAAGAACAACAACUGCUGGUGUAUGUACACCUGAGGACUAACAGCCCCUGCCUGCUGCCUCUAAGUACCAGGAAUGCUCCCUGGACACGAGUGCUGCCCACAAGGCCCAGAGUCACCAAGCUGCACUUGAGAAAGAUUACACUGCUUGAGCACAGGCUAAUGCCAGCAUCUGGUGAAUGAGAAGACAUUUUUUACUUAAGUAUUUACCCAAGAGAAAAUUCUGACAUUUCUGAAUUUCUGCCUUAAUGUAGAACAAGAAGGCAGCAUUUCUAAAUUUCCUCCUAAUUUCCCACAAACCUCAGGGAGUAAAGAUUUUGAACAGUUCGACCUAAUGUAAUAAUGCAUAGCAAUACAUAAAGUUAUCUACAAAAAUAAAAUAUGAUAUGCAAAUAAUAAACAUGAAGGGUUUUUUUAGGUAUCAACAGUUUAAAGGUAAUUACUGGAACACUGAACAUACUGACAUCUAGGAGGGCUGUGCAAGGUGAUUCUGAGAAAAGGGAAGUAGAAAUUUAUCUGAGUUAACACCCAAAAUAAAACCGCAUUGCUUAGUGCUACUUCUGCUACUGUAAGAAGUAACAAAGUAGAACUCAUCAUUACCUUAUGACAUUUCUUUUAAUGUUAGUUAAAUGGAGGAGAUUCCAAAGUUUCUCAAUGGUGUUUCUUCUGCCAAUACACAAACACAUGUACUAUUUAUAAAAAUCAAUACUAAAAAAGAGAGGAACCAAUCCUAAAAGAUCCUGACAAAUACCAUGGAUGCCUGUUCCACAUUUUAUUGCAUGGUAAACUGCUGCUACAAUUUCUCAGCAGGAAUCAUCAAUACAGACCCAAGAGACCAGAUGACAUCUUUGUGAGUGGCUAUUUAUCUCUAUCUCACCUAUGUCAGGAAAAUUUGUAUUAAAAGCAUAACAAAUGAUUCUUGAAUUUGUAAUAUCUAAUUCAUGUGAUAUAACU